UGGGGAAUUUUGGACAAUGGGCGCAAGCCUGAUCCAGCCAUUCCGCGUGCAGGAUGAAGGCCCUCGGGUUGUAAACUGCUUUUGUACGGAACGAAAAGGCUACUGGUUAAUACCUGGGGCUCAUGACGGUACCGUAAGAAUAAGCACCGGCUAACUACGUG
RNAcentral lists this ribosomal RNA (161 nucleotides) under uncultured Comamonas sp. Its description in RNAcentral is "partial 16S ribosomal RNA". It matches the Rfam family "Bacterial small subunit ribosomal RNA", at positions 355 to 507 of the family's 1533-position model. The record is from RNAcentral. Lineage: Bacteria; Pseudomonadati; Pseudomonadota; Betaproteobacteria; Burkholderiales; Comamonadaceae.